UAAUUCUGAACUUCUCAGGGU
This 21-nucleotide non-coding RNA is filed under the name Caenorhabditis elegans. Lineage: Eukaryota; Metazoa; Nematoda; Chromadorea; Rhabditida; Rhabditidae. The record is from RNAcentral.